AGAAGACGAUCAUAAUCAAGUUGUACAAAUUCUCAAGGAGCGGAUAUUGUACCAUCACUUACUUCUUGUAACUAUCAGAUAACUACACAAUCACACGUCGCUCUUUCAUGAGUACAACGAAUUCAUUAACAUGGCAGAAAACACUCUUCAAUCGCGGAAAUUUCUGCCAGUGAGAAGUCCACCAUCAUGUUUCUGGGGUUCCACUCCGGAUUUUCCCUGCUCAAUAUUCGGAGUACCUCGGAUAUUGAGCCAGUGUCUUCAUUUUCUGGAAUAAAAACUGCGACGACAAUGUAUCCAACAUUUGAUCUGACGCAUAAAAGAAGAGUGGCAAGGCGUACCUAUCACAAUGGAAAAUGUGUUCACAGUUUUUUCCUGCUUGAAUAGUAUUUGCAUCACAUCUCUUUACCUGCAUGUUCUGUAUGUAGCAUCCAUGAGACACAUCUCCUGCCCGUACAAUAAUAAUAGGCGCUUCAUCCACUUCGCUUGAUACACAAAUAAAAA
Long non-coding RNA from Xenia sp. Carnegie-2017, 501 nucleotides. RefSeq lists it as uncharacterized. The transcript has 3 exons. Lineage: Eukaryota; Metazoa; Cnidaria; Anthozoa; Malacalcyonacea; Xeniidae. The record is from RefSeq and is a predicted model, not a curated record.